This 259-nucleotide ribosomal RNA is filed under the name uncultured prokaryote. Its description in RNAcentral is "partial 16S ribosomal RNA". It matches the Rfam family "Bacterial small subunit ribosomal RNA", at positions 524 to 782 of the family's 1533-position model. The record is from RNAcentral.
UACGUAGGAGGCGAGCGUUAUCCAGAUUUAUUGGGUUUAAAGGGUGCGUAGGCGGCUUUUUAAGUCAGCGGUGAAAUUUUGCAGCUUAACUGUAACAGUGCCGUUGAUACUGGGGAGCUAGGAUUUGGUUGCUGUGGGUGGAAUGUGUGGUGUAGCGGUGAAAUGCUUAGAGAUCACACAGAAUAUCGAUUGCGAAGGCAGCUCACAAAGCCAAGAUUGACGCUGAGGCACGAAAGUGUGGGGAUCAAACAGGAUUAGA